RNAcentral lists this non-coding RNA (45 nucleotides) under Trichobilharzia regenti. The record is from RNAcentral. Lineage: Eukaryota; Metazoa; Platyhelminthes; Trematoda; Strigeidida; Schistosomatidae.
AUCCAGAUGGAGAGUCCCCAAUAAGACGAAACGCGCAUCAUGGAU